Molecule: long non-coding RNA, 1605 nt
Organism: Lolium perenne
Lineage: Eukaryota; Viridiplantae; Streptophyta; Magnoliopsida; Poales; Poaceae
Source: RefSeq, a predicted model, not a curated record
UGUCCUUUUUUCACUUGAAUGAACAGAUAUUUUAGCAUAUGUAAGCACCCAGAUUAUACUACACUGUUAUAUCCUCACUUCUGCAGUUAUACUUGUUGUAUGUAUCGUUAACAGGAUCUGUUCAUACAGAACUCCCCAUUUCGAAAUUAGUAAUCAUUUUAUGUACAUAUUCCCUGCCACAAACUACAAGUUGAUAAUGGUGCAUAAACUAGCUAGUCUUGCUGGAAAUAGGAAUUGAAUGUGUAGAACAGUUGCUUCUAGUGCUUGCUCAAUUACAGUUGCUCAAGUACUCCUUUGCUGGAGUAUUUCUUUUACUUCUCACAUACUCCCCUUUUCUUUCUCUGAAAAGGAGAUAUGUAUAUGCAGGAGUCCUCGGUCAAAGAUAUGUGUAGAACUCUGAAAAUUUAUUCUGAACUUGUGCAUGAGUUAUUUUAUGCAACACUGAAACUUUAUUACUGAACAAUAAAAUGAUGUCUUUGUCUGUAUUUGCAGCUUCAGAGAGGUGCUAUUAUAGAGCUGUUGUGCAGAGAGGUGGUGCUGACGGGACAAGCCCUUCAAGAAUGAUAGUGGAAAUUUAGAAUUUUUGCUAUUCUUUUUCUUGACUUGUCCAAGCUGUAAUGACAGCAAAAAUUCAUGAAGUGUGCAUUGACAUGAAGCCACCCAGGUUGUUUAUGAUAUAAGGCUGUGAAGAUUUGACUAAUGGAGAUAAAAGAGCAACAGGAUGCUCUGCCAAAGCAUGCUAAUCAUGCCCUCCUUGGAUCUGACUUCAAGAAGGUCGAACUGUCGAAGCACUUGACAGGUUGACUAAAAUCAAGAUCUGGAAGCACCAUUUUUCUUGUGGCGCGACGGGUUCAGGUGGCUCAACAACAUUUCGAACAGGCGGAACUGCCAGCGAGCUGAGACAGAGCUGAGACGAGAAGGCGACGUUGCCAAGGAGAUGAGACAGUGCUGCUGGCGAGAAGACGAUGUUGCCGGCGAGCUGUGCCGGAGCGGCCAGCGAGAAGCCUGGAGGUGCCCCGAGCGUGGAGGUGCUAGCUAUGGUCCUGGGCGUUCCCGGCGGUAUGGUACUCUGCUCGGUGGGUGCUGAGCAUGCGUGGACGCCGACGAGCUACUUGCUGGCGGCCGGCAUGGCGCUUCUGCUGGGGGCCUACGGCCGGCCUCCGUGAGGUUUUCCGAUGGAUUCCGGCGGCGACGCGCAGACGGAUUGGAUUCAGCUGGCUUGACGCUCGCUUGGAUCGAUUCAGUUCUGCUGGUUUGAGGCGCGCUCGUCGGAUGAAUUCAGUUCAACUGGCUUGAGGCUCACGCGCGGAUGGAUCCUGCAGGUGGCGGAGGUGAUGGCUGGGGCGUUGGGGGCUGAGGACGAGGACGCUGGGAUCUGGAUCGAGAUCCAUGAAGACGAUCGUGGAUGGAUCCUGCAGGUGGCGGAGGUGAUCGCUGGGAUGUUGGGGGCGGAGCCGCGGAGGACGAGGACGCUGCGAUCUGAAUCGAGAUCCAUGAAGACGAAGCUCGGACCGGGAACGAUGUUAGACAGGGGUAGGAAUGUCUUUUCGUAGCGUUUUCACCUGGUCGGAAAAAUCCCAGAACGUCUUAUAUUUCUGAACGGAG